CCCUUAGAUGUUCUGGGCCGCACGCGCGCUACACUGAUGCAUUCAACGAGCCUAGCCUUGACCGAGAGGUCCGGGUAAUCUUUGAAACUGCAUCGUGAUGGGGCUAGAUUAUUGCAAUUAUUAAUCUUCAACGAGGAAUGCCUAGUAAGCGUGAUUCAUCAAAUCGCGUUGAUUACGUCCCUGCCCUUUAUACACACCGCCCGUCGCUCCUACCGAUUGAGUGUGUUGGUGAGGAGUUUGGAUUGGCCUCGGAAGGUGGUUCGCCACCGUCCGUAGCUGAGAAGUUCUCCAAACCGCCCCACUUAGAGGAAGGAGAAGUCGUAACA
Molecule: ribosomal RNA, 326 nt
Filed under: uncultured eukaryote
Lineage: Eukaryota
Description: partial 18S ribosomal RNA
Rfam family: Eukaryotic small subunit ribosomal RNA
Source: RNAcentral